This 309-nucleotide ribosomal RNA is filed under the name uncultured bacterium. Its description in RNAcentral is "partial 16S ribosomal RNA". It matches the Rfam family "Bacterial small subunit ribosomal RNA", at positions 504 to 807 of the family's 1533-position model. The record is from RNAcentral.
AGAGACAGCAGCCGCCGCGGGAAUACGUAGGGUGCAAGCGUUAAUCGGAUUUACUGGGCGUAAAGCGUGCGUAGGCGGCUUUUUAAGUCGGAUGUGAAAUCCCUGAGCUUAACUUAGGAAUUGCAUUCGAUACUGGGAAGCUAGAGUAUGGGAGAGGAUGGUAGAAUUCCAGGUGUAGCGGUGAAAUGCGUAGAGAUCUGGAGGAAUACCGAUGGCGAAGGCAGCCAUCUGGCCUAAUACUGACGCUGAGGUACGAAAGCAUGGGGAGCAAACAGGAUUAGAGACCCCCGUAGUCCCUGUCUCUUAUAC